UACGGAGGAUGCAAGCGUUAUCCGGAUUUAUUGGGUUUAAAGGGUGCGCAGGUUGUUUGAUAAGUCAGUGGUGAAAGUCUGUCGCUUAACGGUAGGAUUGCCAUUGAUACUGUUGGACUUGAAUAUGGAUGAGGUAGGCGGAAUGUGUAGUGUAGCGGUGAAAUGCAUAGAUAUUACACAGAACACCGAUUGCGAAGGCAGCUUACUAAUCCAUCAUUGACGCUGAGGCACGAAAGACGUGGGGAGUCAACAGGA
This 255-nucleotide ribosomal RNA is filed under the name uncultured prokaryote. RNAcentral's name for it is "partial 16S ribosomal RNA". It matches the Rfam family "Bacterial small subunit ribosomal RNA", at positions 524 to 777 of the family's 1533-position model. The record is from RNAcentral.